This 488-nucleotide ribosomal RNA is filed under the name uncultured archaeon. Its description in RNAcentral is "bacterial SSU rRNA". It matches the Rfam family "Archaeal small subunit ribosomal RNA", at positions 381 to 870 of the family's 1478-position model. The record is from RNAcentral.
UCGAGUGCCAGGUUACAAAUCUGGCUGUCGUGAUGCCUAAAAAGCAUUAUAUAGCAAGGGCCGGGCAAGACCGGUGCCAGCCGCCGCGGUAACACCGGCGGCUCGAGUGGUAACCGUUAUUAUUGGGUCUAAAGGGUCUGUAGCCGGCCGGAUAAGUCUCUUGGGAAAUCUGGCAGCUAACUGUCAGGCUUUCAGGGGAUACUGUCUGGCUCGAGGCCGGGAGAGGUGAGAGGUACUUCAGGGGUAGGGGUGAAAUCUUGUAAUCCUUGAAGGACCACCAGUGGCGAAGGCGUCUCACCAGAACGGACCUGACGGCAAGGGACGAAAGCUAGGGGCACGAACCGGAUUAGAUACCCGGGUAGUCCUAGCCGUAAACGAUACUCGCUAGGUGUCGGCCACGGUGCGACCGUUGUCGGUGCCGUAGGGAAGCCGUGAAGCGAGCCACCUGGGAAGUACGGCCGCAAGGCUGAAACUUAAAGGAAUUGGCG